AUGGAACAGUACCAAACACAUAAAAUAUAUGGAAACCCCAUUACAACGAGCCCAUCCUCCUAUAGCUCCUCCCACCAUCCUCCACUGACUGUCACCAGCCUCAUUGAGAGAACCAAGUCUGUGGUUGCUUGGGCUUUCACUACUGUGUAUCUCUCUAUCUUUCCUUUAUCUUUCUCACUGUAUCUCUCUCCCUCUCUCUCUACUAUCCUACACAUCCAUCCUUUAUUCUGUCAUGAACAUUUCUCUACCUCUCCUCUCCUCUCCUCCUCUCCUCUCCUCUCCUCUCCUCUCCUCUCCUCUCCUCUCCUCUCCUCUCCUCUCCUCUCCUCUCCUCUCCUCUCCUCUCCUCUCCUCUCCUCUCCUCUCCUCUCCUCUCUCUACCACUCCUUUCCUCUCUCUACCUCCUAUCACUAUCUCUACCUCUCCUCUCUCUACCUCUCCUCUCCUCUCUCUACCACUCCUUUCCUCCCUCUACCUCCUCUCCACUCUACCUCUCCUAUUAUAUCUGUAUCUCUCCUCUCCUCUCUCCACCUCUCCACUCCUCUCUCUACCUCUCCUCUCUCCACCUCUCCUCUCUACCUCUCUCCUCUCCCCUCUAACUCUGCCCUCUCUACCUCUCCUCUCUCUACCUCUCCUCUCUCUACCUAUCCACCUCUCCUCUCCUCUCCUCUCCUCUCCUCUCCUCUCCUCUCCUCUCCUCUCCUCUCCUCUCCUCUCUCUAUCUCUGACCUCUCUACCUCUGACCUCUCUACCUCUGACCUCUCUACCUCUGACCUCUCUACCUGUGCCCUCUCUACCUCUCCUCUCUCUCUACCUCUCCUCUCUCUACCUCUCCCCUCUCUACCUCUCCUUCUCCUCUACUCUCUCUACCUCUCCUCCUCUACCUCUCCUCUCUACCUCUCGUUUCCUCGCUCUACCUUUCCUCACUCUACAGCUCCUCUACUCUUUCUACCUCUCCUCUCCCUACCUCUCAUUUCCUCUCUCUGCCUCUCCUGUCUCUACCUUUCCUCCUCAGGUGACCUUCAUGUUGAAUAA
This 1035-nucleotide long non-coding RNA is filed under the name Oncorhynchus mykiss (rainbow trout). RNAcentral describes it as "lncRNA (ENSOMYG00000064967.1)". Lineage: Eukaryota; Metazoa; Chordata; Actinopteri; Salmoniformes; Salmonidae. The record is from RNAcentral.